UAGUCCACGCCGUAAACGAUGAUAACUCGUUGCUGGUAAUACACCAUCAGUGACUGAGCGAAAGCAUUAAGUUAUCCACCUGGGGAGUACGAUCGCAAGGUUGAAACUCAAAGGGAUUGACGGGGGCCCGCACAAGCGGAGGAACAUGUGGUUUAAUUCGACGAUACGCAAGGAACCUUACCUGGGCUUAAAUGUGUUCGGACCGACUUAGAGAUAGGUCUUCCCUUCGGGGCUGAAUACAAGGUGCUGCAUGGUUGUCGUCAGCUCGUGCCGUGAGGUGUCGGGUUAAGUCCCAUAACGAGCGCAACCCUUAUCGUUAGUUACCAUCAGGUUAUGCUGGGGACUCUAGCGAGACUGCCACUGUAAGGUGAGAGGAAGGUGGGGAUGACGUCAAAUCAGCACGGCCCUUAUGUCCAGGGCUACACACGUGUUACAAUGGCAAGUACAAAGGGCAGCUACCUGGUGACAGGAUGCUAAUCUCAGAAAGCCUGUCCCAGUUCGGAUUGGAGU
Molecule: ribosomal RNA, 510 nt
Filed under: uncultured bacterium
Lineage: Bacteria
Description: bacterial SSU rRNA
Rfam family: Bacterial small subunit ribosomal RNA
Source: RNAcentral